UGGCCACCGGGGCUGCAGGAACCAGGACACUGAUAACCACAGCCUUCAUGGCAGUAAGUGAAGGGAGAAAGGGAGACCUACCAAGCUGAAACAGCUGAACGCACUGGGUGAAUGUGGCAGGACAGACAGGACCAUGCUGACAGUCCUGCUCAGUAAAUAUUUGCUGAUGACCAGCAUGACGACGCUUGGAGAAACUAACCCCCACCAAACUGUUCAGGAAAACAUUCUUCUUUCAUCACUGACCAAUGGAAUUUCUGUAUCCCAGAGAUGUUGUCUCAGGCAUGCAACAGUGACUACAGCUGAGAGAAGAAGAUACAGAAGAAAGUUGCCCUCCAGGACGAAGGCUAAGCUCUCAAUUCUAGGGGACAAUUCUGGCCCCCGGCCAGCCCAGCACUUCUGUCACGUCUUGCCUGGCGCAUCUGUCUGGCUGUGAAAUGGUUUUCUGCACCUCAUGCUGCCCCCAAGACAGCAGUGGAGCACGGAAAGCUGAGAGACGGUGGAGAAGGCUGACUUUCAUCAUAGCAGGAGGCUGGUGAUUUUCUCACAAGGAGGACCUCAGAGCACCAAGAAGCAUAGUGAGCUCCUUAGAGGGAACGUUUCACUGACGGUGUGAUCUGAUGGGUUGAGCAUGAACAUUCUGCAGCGCAGACCGGGUUCCUCCAGGCCUUGGAGGGGCUGAGCUUCCAGCUCCUGGGAGCCUGUCAGUGUCUCAGGGCUUCUGGGAGCAGGCCCUGCACAGAGCACGAGCCCGUCGAUGGAGCAUACACAGAGGCCAACAUUUACUAUGAUCUUCCUACGCGCCCAGCACUACGCCAAGUGCUUUCCAUGUGUUAUCUCAUUUAAUCCUCACGACAACUUGACAAGGGAGUUCACUUAUCACCCCAAGUUUACUGAUGUGCUAACUGAGGAUAGAGAGGAGGCUUCAACUUGAACUCAGUCUGGCUCCUGAUUCCGGAAUCUCCACCGUUCUCCCCUAAGCUGCCUCCCAGGACAGUAUGAAGUGUGAGUCCAUCUAGUUGCCUGUUGGGCCAGCCUCUGGGGACCAGCAUCCCCUCACGGAGGAGGCCUGGCCAGCUCCCAGGGUGGCUCUCACGCCUCCAAUCACAGCAGCAUGGCAAUCUGUGCCCGCUACCAGAAGGAAAAGCGCUCUUGGCACUUGCCCUCCUGAAGGGGUCAGUUUUCAGAGGACGAGACAUUUGGUGAGCUUGUCUUGAACUGCACAGAGCACAUGGCGAACCGACCAGGGCUGCUCACCGAGGGGAGUCAGGAGGGCGGCUGGCUGACUCUCCUCCUUUGCUGAAGCCACUGGGCAUCUGGAACCAGCCCCAAAGCUCAGGCCUGACUUCGGCCUUCCUUGUCCGGCGAACAGGGUUUAUCGAUUUCAAAGCAUGUAUUUCAUUCCCUUUUCAUUCCAGCACUAAAGCGGCUCCCUUUGCUCGUUGAGGCAGAGCCCCUUCCUCUCUUCCAGAAAAAUCCUGAGUCACAACUGUCUUGGAUUAUUUAGUUGAUCCAGCAUGGAAG
RNAcentral lists this long non-coding RNA (1521 nucleotides) under Equus caballus (horse). Its description in RNAcentral is "lncRNA (ENSECAG00000049865.1)". The record is from RNAcentral. Lineage: Eukaryota; Metazoa; Chordata; Mammalia; Perissodactyla; Equidae.